Molecule: ribosomal RNA, 496 nt
Filed under: uncultured bacterium
Lineage: Bacteria
Description: partial 16S ribosomal RNA
Rfam family: Bacterial small subunit ribosomal RNA
Source: RNAcentral
GAUGAACGCUGGCGGCGUGCCUAAUACAUGCAAGUCGAGCGAACGGACGAGAAGCUUGCUUCUCUGAUGUUAGCGGCGGACGGGUGAGUAACACGUGGAUAACCUACCUAUAAGACUGGGAUAACUUCGGGAAACCGGAGCUAAUACCGGAUGAUAUUUUGAACCGCAUGGUUCAAAAGUGAAAGACGGUCUUGCUGUCACUUAUAGAUGGAUCCGCGCUGCAUUAGCUAGUUGGUAAGGUAACGGCUUACCAAGGCAACGAUGCAUAGCCGACCUGAGAGGGUGAUCGGCCACACUGGAACUGAGACACGGCCCAGACUCCUACGGGAGGCAGCAGUAGGGAAUCUGCCGCAAUGGGCGAAAGCCUGACGGAGCAACGCCGCGUGAGUGAUGAAGGUCUUCGGAUCGUAAAACUCUGUUAUGAGGGAAGAACAUAUGUGUAAGUAACUGUGCACAUCUUGACGGUACCUAAUCAGAAAGCCACGGCUAACUACGG